This 245-nucleotide ribosomal RNA is filed under the name uncultured bacterium. RNAcentral's name for it is "partial small subunit ribosomal RNA". It matches the Rfam family "Bacterial small subunit ribosomal RNA", at positions 26 to 285 of the family's 1533-position model. The record is from RNAcentral.
AGAAUCAACGCUGGCGGCGUGCCUAACACAUGCAAGUCGCACGAGAAAGGGUAGCAAUACCUGAGUACAGUGGCGCACGGGUGAGUAACACGUGGAUAAUCUACCUCCGAGUGGGGAAUAACUGAGAGAAAUCUUAGCUAAUACCGCAUAACACUUACGAGUCAAAGCAGCAAUGCGCUUGGAGAGGAGUUCGCGGCAGAUUAGUUAGUUGGCGGGGUAAUGGCCCACCAAGACGAUGAUCUGUA